ACCUCAAUCUACAUACAUGACCACUGCUUUGUUUUACAAGUGGCCACAACCUAUACGUGUUGCUUCAAUGAGCUGACAGGAACUUGAACUUGGGGAAGAGAGAAAGCGGGAGAGACAGAGCGAGAGAGACGUCACUGACGACCGUGAUGUGCAAAGAUUAUAGAGGAGCUAUAAGAUCUUUGGUCCACACCAGCCGUCGCCGACAGCACACAAUGUGUACACAAGCGUGAGAAAGCGAUGGCACCCGCUGUGUAUGAAGCAGUGGGCUCCAAAAAGGACGGAGACUCGGUGGUGAAGAGAGCGGACAUUCGACAGGAGAACGGAUGGGAGCGGUGUCCUCCACGGGUUAGCCUUUAGCCUCGCCGUUAGCCCACCUCGACAGCCCCUCUUCUGUAGCGCCGCCUCUGUAUCGCCGCCUCCGUGUCCUUCUGUAGCGGCCAGUGUUUGUGAAUGUCUCCGCGGCUCUGCAGGCCGCUGGGUCCUCCCGACGCAGCAGUCCGAGACAGUGCAGGCGUCCCUCAAGUUCAACGUCCACGUAGUCUCUACUGCUUAACUGUUGUAAUUCCAGUAAUGACCCAUGAUCGUAUGUUAACUUGCAACCUGCCCGCUGCAAGUUAUGAAGCCGGAUUGUAGUAAACUUGUCGCUAUCGCUAUCGAGAGUCAAUGCUGCCGCAGCCAACCAGGGCACCGCCAUCAAGUAUUGUUAAAACAGCAGCAUGAACGGUAACACAGUAACCCCACCUUCUCAAUGAAAUGUCAUCGAUACCAAGGGCUGGGAAGAACACACGGCUUUCAAGGAAACUUCUCCAAGGACUUUGAAGCAGCUGCUUUCUGCAGUCAGUGGAUUCCUCUUCAAGCGGUUUGAUGGAGCAGAACAGGAAAGACCAUUUAUUGAAUUGGAGGAAGCAAGGGUUUAGAAACUAGCAAAAAUGCCAGGGGAAGAGGAGGAGAAAUUAUUUUUCACUAAGCAAAUUAUGACCGUUAUAUUCCCUUAAAAAGUGGUAAAAAAAUACUCAAUAAUAAUAUAUAUUUUUUAAAACAAUUCAAAGGCGCGUCAAAGAGCAAAGGGGGUAGCAUUAAGUAGAUAAAUCGUUCAGUGCUAGUACAAGCAGAAUUCUGUAAUUCCACAUGGUUCUUCAGAUUCUAUCAAGUAACAGUUUCCUCCCACAUCCCAAAGACGGGAAGGUUUGUAGGCUAUUUGGAUUGGUUAAAAUUGUAAUUUGUCCCUAAUGUGUAGGAUUGCGCUAGUGUUCGGGAUGGUUGCUGGCCGGCGCAGACUCAGUAGGAAGAAGGUUGCUAAAAGUGAUGGACGAAAUGGAUGUGCCAUUCUAUUACCAUGUUAACAAACAAGCACCAAUAUUCAACAGUGACUCAAUUCAACCUCAAGCAAUGCUUCCUCUGCAGAACCUCUCCUGAGUUCAUCAUCUCAAGUUAGCCAGUUUGUGAAACAGAGCCAACUGUCUUUUCUUUGGAUUUGGAUCCAGCAGUUGUCAUACUGUGCAUUCUGCUGCUCCAUUUGAAAUGGAAUGGUAUGGAGCGACUAGUGUGUUUUACACCAUUCCCUUUCAUGAAUUGUGCAAACUCUUGUGAACAGAAUUGAGGUCCGUUACCAGACACAAUUUCCUCUGGAAAUCCAUAGGACGCAAACAGUCCUCGCAAAAUGUCUAUCAUUUUGCUGGAUGUCGUUUUGUUCAUUAGAAACAUCUUAACCCACUUGGAGUGACUAUCAAUCACAAUGAACAAUUGU
Leucoraja erinaceus (little skate) is the source of this 1747-nucleotide long non-coding RNA. RefSeq lists it as uncharacterized. The transcript is spliced from 3 exons. Lineage: Eukaryota; Metazoa; Chordata; Chondrichthyes; Rajiformes; Rajidae. The record is from RefSeq and is a predicted model, not a curated record.